Molecule: long non-coding RNA, 8432 nt
Filed under: Marmota monax (woodchuck)
Lineage: Eukaryota; Metazoa; Chordata; Mammalia; Rodentia; Sciuridae
Rfam family: tRNA (bases 4379-4447)
Source: RNAcentral
CCCAGGUUCAAUUGCCAGUACCACAAAGGGAGGAAAAAAGUUUACUUUGGCUCAUAGUUAUGGCAGAAGAUUUAGAGGCCACAUCUGGUGAUGGCCUUCUUGCUGGCAGAGUCCCCAGGAAGCAUGGGGCCUCACAUGGCAAGAGACAGGGACCUUGGCAGACACCUAGCCAAACUUUUUUUUUUUUUUUUUAAGCGCUGGGGAUUAAACCCAGGGCUUUGUGUAUGCAAGGCAGGCAAUCUGCCAAUCAAGCUAUAUCCCCAUCCCACAAACUCACUCUUGAGAUAACCCAUUUACCCAUUAACCCACGGAUCACAUGAGUCCCCAGACUCACAUGAGAUAUUCUUUGUAUGUGUGUGUGUGUGUGGUGCUGGGGAUGGAACCCAGGGCCUUGUGCAUGCAAGGCAAGCACUCUACUAACAGACCUAUGUCCCCAGCCCACAAGGUGAAGGAUGCUGUUACUUGCUACCACAGGAAUACAUCAGGCUGCUCCCUCUAGCAACAUAAUAACUUUAGAUAAAUUUUAAUAAUAUCUAUACCAGCAGUGAGACUGCUGCUUGCUGUGUGACCUUGGGCAUAGCACAUCUCUGAGCCUUACUUUCCUCUUUAUUAUAUCACAUCCAUCUGAAAUGACUUUGUUUCUUGUUGAUUACCUUCCUUCCCCAUUACAGUGUCACAUCCUUGAGAGCGGAGACUUUGUUUCUCUCAUCCGUCUUGAACCCAGCAUAGAGCAGGUGUUUAGUUAAACAUCUGGGGUGCAGUGGUGCACACCUGUGAUGCCAGCUACUUGGGAGCCUGAGGCAGGAGGGAUUGCAAGUUUGAAGACUUUUGUUGUUGAUGAUACUGGGAUUGAACUCAGGGACUUGUGCAUGGUAGGCAAGCACUCUACCACUGAACCACAUCCCCAGCCCAGAAUCAAAAGUUUGUGGGCAACUCAGCAAGACCAUCUCUCAAAGUAAAAUUUUUUUACAAAGGGCUGGGAUGUAGCUCAGUGGUAGAGCACCUGCCCAGAAUGCACAAGUCCCUGGGAUAGAUCACCAGCAUUGACAGGAAAAAAAAAAAGAAUGAAUAGGGCCAGGUGUGGUGGUGCACACCUAUAAUCCCAGCAUCUUGGGAGGCUGAGGCAGGAGGAUCCAGUGUUCAAAGCCAGCCUCAGUAAUUUAGCAAGGCCCUAAACAACUCAGUGAGAUCCUGUCUCUAAUGAAAUAUAAAAAGAGCAGGUAUGUGGCUUGGUGGUUAAGCACCCCUGGGUCCAGUCCCCUGUACCAAAAAAAAAAAAAUAAGAAGAAAUAAAGAAUGAGUAGGGAGAUUGAGCCCUGCAGGAGGCAUCUGGAGAGAUUGCUGGGAGGUUGGGAGGAGGCCAGUAGGCUGCUCAGAGCCUCAGGCAGAGCCAGGAACAGUGGGCCUUGGUGUUAGAAGCCUCUGAGGUCACUGCUCUCCCGCUCCCUUGUCCUGGGACCUCAGGCCGGUUUGAAGCCUCUGUGAUCGAGGAGCGGAGAAAGGGGGCCGAAGAGCUGCUUCGCUUCACCGUGCACAUCCCUGCACUCAACAACAGCCCCCAGCUCAAGGAGUUCUUCCGGGUAUGUGCACCUGCCCUUCCUACCACCCCAGCACCUGGAAAGCUUACCUGCCCACCAAGCUACACUCCCUCUGUUGGUCUUUCUGCAGGGUGGGGAGGUGACACGGCCCUGCGAAGUGUCCAGAGACCUGCACAUUCUACCACCCCCUCUGAUCCCCACACCACCCCCUGAUGAGCCUCGGUUGCCCCAGCCACUUCCUGCAGAAAGGAGGGGCCUAGAGGAGUUGGAGGUGUCAGGUACAUGAGAAUGGGGGGAGGAAGCCAGAAUUGGGGGACAGGAAGGCAGGGCUCCACACUCCUAUCCCUACCUGUGAUCAUAGUGACAACCCUGUCGUGUCCCGUGCACCUGCUGAGGUCUUUGGAUAGGUCAUUUCCUGUCUUUAGUUUCAGUUUCUUAAUCUGUAAAAUGGGCACAGACCCUGAUGAUGGGCUUGUCUAGGCCUAUUGCUGCAAGGACUUACUGAGAGGAUCAUCCCAUUUUGAACUCUGGCGAGUGGUUUAUGUGCAGGUGUUAAUAUCCCAAUGGUCUGUCCUCAGCGGACCCCCCGCCGUCCAGCCCUGCCCAGGAGGCUCUGGAUCUUCUCUUCAACUGUGGCAGCACAGAGGAGGCAUCCGGCUCCCCUGCCCAGGGCCCUCUCUCUGAGGCUGAGCUUGCUCUCUUUGACCCCUUCUCCAAGGAAGGUAAGGAGCAGGGGCAGGCAGGGCAGGGGUUGCAGUAGCAGGUCCUUGGGGGCAAAAGAGGAGGCAGGACCACCAGCCAGCUGUUUGCAACUGUGUAAAUCUGAGCAAGUUGUCCCUGUACAGUGAGCAACCAUUGGGGAAGGAGAUGAGCCAUUUCUCCCUAUGAAAGCUUGGAAGAGCAGGGUCACAUUGCUCUGGAAGGUUUUAGCCUGUCCUGCAAGUCCAAGGUGGGGCUUCCUGGCUGGCUCAGGGUCCCCUGCAGAUCCUGGAGGUAGGAGAAGCCUGUCAGUGGGCUCAAAGAGCAGCAGCCAAGGGAAGCCACUGUGCCUUGGAGGCCACCAGAAGCAGAUGAGCUCCCCACAUGGGGCAGGGUCCUGAGCACUUUCCUGCUCUGAGACCAGGAACAUGAUAGUUCCCAACAGUGAGACACUGGGUUUUUCAUUCAGAAAUUCUCCAAGCUUCUGCUGUAACUGCAACCCAGGUGUUAAAGUGGUCAAUCUCACUUUGGGAUGAUCGUGAAACAGUUUCUCUUUUUAUUCCUUAGGAGUGUUUUUUUUUUUUUAAAUAUUUAUUUAUUUAUUUUAGUUUUUGGCGGACACAACAUCUUUGUUUGUAUGUGGUGCUGAGGAUCGAACCCGGGCCGCAGGCACACCAGGCGAGCGCGCUACCGCUUGAGCCACAUCCCUAGCCCCCCUUAGGAGUGUUUUUAAGCUGGUUUUGUUGGCCCUCCUUGUUUGCCCUUUGGUGGCCUUGAGGGCUGACCCCCCACCUUCUGAUGAGUUUCAGGCAUCUGAGGCCCAGCCUAGGAGAGGAAACAGCCUAGGCCAGCCUGUGUCAGCUCCCAUCUAGCUGUCAGCCUCACCUUCCCCCUGGCUCAGGCCAGUGGCCAGUGGCCAGUGGCCAGGCCAGCAAGUGACAAGGGUGUGAGGAGCUUGCUUUUGCUUGUUCUUCUUCCACACCUCCAAGGUUGGGGAAGGGGGAGAAUGGAUUGGGGGACAGAAGUGGUGGUAUCACCGGGGAUGUUGUACCAUCCUCUGAGUGGCAGGCACCCAGAUUCCCUGGCCCAGCUGAGCUCUCUAGGGUUCCUGGUGGAGGAUAGGACAGCCACUGGCAGUUGCUGUUUUUUUUUUUUCUUUUGGUACCAGGGAUUGAACCCAGGCGCUUUAAUACUGAGCCACAUCCCCAGCCCUUUUUAUAUUUUAUUUAGAGACAGGGUCUCACCAAGUUGUUUAAGGCCUAAGUUGUUGAGGCUGGCCUUAAACUUGUGAUCCUCCUGCCUCAGCCUCCUGAGAUGCUAGGAUUACAGGUGUGCGCCACCACACCCGGCUUGGCAGUUGCUUUGAAAGGCCCUUUACAGGUUGCACCCCUGAAACAUUUACUGUGUCCAUAGGAAAAUUCCCCAAUCCUUGUGUCCCUGUUGCUGAAGUGCAGUGUGCUCAGGCACUUCCUUCCCUCCUGCUCCCCAACAGUCGUGUAUGCCAGGAGCCAGCACCCCAUCUCUCUCUUUUUUUUGUUUAUUUAUUUAUUUAUUUAUUUAUUUAUAUUUUAGAUGUUGAUGAACCUUUAUUUUAUUUAUUUUUAUGUGGUGCUCAGGAUCGAGCCCAGUGCCUCACACUUGCUAGUCUGGCACUCUACCAUUGAGCCACAACCCCAGCCCCACCCCUGCCUCUCUUCUUCAGACACUAAGCUCCUGACCUCAAGUAUUUAGGGGCUCCACAAACUCUUGCACUCCCUGCUUCCUGAGCAACACAGGGAGGGCUCUAGGCCCAGCUGGGAGGGGCGACAUCCUCCUGCCUUCCUGCCACUCAUCUCUUCAUGGAUCUCCUGGGACUCCCCAUUUGGAUGGGGCCGGAGAAAUGCCCACUCGUGCGUUCCCUCUCCAGGACAGGAAUGCCAUGGUGCUCCCUGCUCCUGUACCUUCCUGUCAAAGGCCUCUUCUCAAAAGACUCACUGACUCUGUAGCCACCUCAUAUGAAAGCCACAGGGAGGAUCUCUGACCACCUCCAGGACGUCAUGAGCCCUUCAGCCUGGAACAUGAAGAUGCCAGUUGCCCACUGCCCCUCGCCCUGGGGUUCUCAGCUGAGAUUUCAAGAUCUUGAAAAAGUCCUGGCGAGGGCUGGGGUUGUGGCUCAGGGGUAGAGCACUCGCUUAGCAUGUGUGAAGCACUGGGUUUAGUUCUCAGCCCCACAUAAAAAUUAAUAAAUUUUUACAACUACAACUGAAAAAAAAAAAAAAGAAAAAAGAAAAAUCCCCGGAGGGUGUAGCUUGCCUAGCAUGUGCAAGACCCUGGGUUCGAUCCCCAGCACUGUCAAAAAAAAGAAGGACGGAAGGAAAGCAGCAUUUUCACCCUUAGCCUGAUAGCUGGUCUACCAUCCUGUAACUGAACUUGUGGAGAAACUUUUGCAUUCCUAGGCCAACCGGAGUCAGGAAAGAAAUAGGACCAGUGAGUGACCCAGAGCUCAAUAAGAAAAAAUUAGUGUAUACCUAAAGAAUUAGGAGGGUAGGACUCUUUUUGCUAUACUCAAGUGGCUUCUAGACUGUCCAGGCCCUGCACCCCUCCGCUGAGGACACACUGGUACCUAGAUGGGUCACAGAGGUUUCGGAGGGGUCAACAGUCCCUGGGAAAUGAAGGGCCAGUAAGGCUUGAAUGCUCUUUUUCUGAUUGCAGAAGGCGCAGGCCCCAGUCCCACCCACAUAGGUGAGCUGGCAGCCAUGGAAGUAGAGUCCACGAGGCUGAACCAGGAGCCCUGGGAGCCAGGAGGGCAGGAGGAAGAAGAGGACGGAGGAGGGCCUCGCCCUGCCUAUCUUAGCCAGGCCACAGAGCUCAUCACCCAGGCCCUGCGGGACGAGAAGGCAGGCGCCUACCCUGCUGCUCUCCAGGGCUACCGAGAUGGUGUGCACAUUCUGCUCCAGGGGGUGCCCAGUGAGUAGGGGCUGGAGGGUAGAGGGUCAGGCCUGGGGUCCUAGAUGGAGCAGUAAGGAGGGGAAAGUGAAAAGCAAGCAAGGACCAGGAGCCUUUCUCCUCACUGCCUGAUGACCAUGUCACUUUGAGAAGAUUAUUUUCCUUCCUCUUGGUGGCUUCAGUUUUCUUUUUAGUAGAAUGGGGAGGAGAGACAUGGUAAGUCCCAGGGAAGGGAGAAGGACACAUGAUGCUGCUCUGUGAACCGUAAGGGCUAGACCAGGGGUUCUGGGCUCAAGUACUCAGCUGAGCCAAUCUCUCCACAGGUGACCCGUCCCCUGCCCGCCGGGAAGGUGUGAAGAAGAAGGCAGCUGAGUACCUAAAGCGGGCUGAAGAGAUUCUACACCUGCACCUGUCUCAACUGCCGCCCUGAGGAGUGGGCCUUCCAUAGGACUCUAGCUCCAGCACUGCCAGCCUCCCCCUCUCCUUCCCCAGCAACCCCAGGGGCCAUUUCUGUACGUAACUGGACCAAGGAACACAAUGGCUCCCUGCCUGCCUGCCUUCUUGGAGUCAGGACUCUAUAUGUGCCAGUAUCUAUCAUGAUGUGGCAGCAGCAGGUCUCGUCAUUAAAACUUGUCAGUUUAGCCAUCUGGAACUGGGGUCUGCAGACUGCAGCCUACAGCCAGAUCUGGCUCAUCACCUACCUUUUUUUUAAGGCCCACAGGCUAGAAUGGUUGCUACAUCUUUUUAAUGGUGUGUGUGAUGGGGAAUCAAAUGAGUAAGAGUCUGUGACUAGUGAAAAUUAAAUGAGGGCUGAGGUUGUAACUCAGUGGUGGAGAGCUUACCUGGCACUUGUGAGGCACUGGGUUCGAUCCUCAGCACCACAUAAAAAUAAAGGUAUUGUGUCCAUCAACAACUAAAAGAAUUUAAAAAAUAAUAAUAAAAUGAAAGUUAAGUGUCUAUGAAUAAAAAUUGUUGGAACAUAACCAGGCUCAACCACAUCUAUGGCUGCAACCAGCAGAUUUGAGUAAGGCGACCAGCAAAUCCCAAAACAGUUUUUCUUUUUUCUCCAUCAUUCUGAGGAUUGAAACCCGGGUCUCAGGCUUUCUAAGCACACCCACUAGAUCUAUCUGUCUGUCUGUCUGUCUUUCUCUCUCUCUUUCUCUAAUGUUUUAGUUGUCAAUGGACCUUUAUUUAAUUUUUAUGCGGUGCUGAGUAUCAAACCCAGUGCCUCACACAUGGUAGGCAAGCGCUUUACUCCUGAGCCACAACCCCAAAACCCCUCUCCGCCUCUUUUCUGUUCUUUUGCGAGUGGGUCUAAGUUGCCCAGGUUGGCCUGGAACUUGUCCUCAUGCCUCAGCCUCCCUCCUCAGGACUGCAUCCUCGGACCGCUGCACCUAUCCCAAGACAUUUUCUACUUGACUCUUUGCAAAAAAAAAAAAAUAAUAAUUGCUGGGAGCCAUUAGCCAAGUAGGUAUGACAAUUUCCUUGCCAGCGUACCCCAUGUUGCUGACAUGUUGCAGUGACAUUAUAUGUAGGUGACCUUGCUCAAGGACCAAGGCAGAUUAGGGUGUUCCCGGUUUUAAGAUAAUCGUGUUUAGGGCGUUCCCAGUUUAGGUUCCAGGUUUAAGGUUUAAGAUUAUUCCUGCUGGGAAUAGGGCGUAUCCUGCUGCCUGAGUUCCCCUUGAGUUCUCACGGGAUUCAGACAGUAUAUUUUGGGAGAUAGAAGCCCAGUGGAGGGGGAUUUGGGCAGAGAACGUGGAUUUGGGAAGAGAACGUGGAUUUCCCCAGAACGUGAUUGUAGACGGCUGGUGUGAGUUCAGGAAUAAAGAGUUGCUGUUUGAAUCUACAAGCUGUGUGGUGGCUCGUGAUUGUGUGCCCAGCCAGACUGUGGCAUUUGUGCCCAGCCAGACUGCGGCAUUUGGCGUCCCGUGCGGGGAACUUCUGAAGCUUAGAGGUAAGUGAAAUUGCUCGCCCCUGAGGAAGAGCGAAAGAAUGGGUGACCAACUCAAAAAACAAUGUGUUAUUGUUUUGAUUUAUCUUGUUUUUGUUUCAAGCUGCCUAUCCCUAGAAAUUUCUCAGGCAAACUGGAAAAAAUGGUUGACUAAAGGUUUGAAGUUUGUCGGCCCUGAGGAAGAGAAAAUUGAUACAACGAUUUUUUAUUCCGUUUUUGUUUCAUUCAGUUUCGGCUUUGUUUUGUGCUAUCUUAUUGGGUUGCGUUAUCUUUAUAGUAGAUUAGAAAUUAGUAAAAAACAAACCGAAAAGAUGUUAAGUAAAUUGUUAGAGGUUCAGACCAUGGAGAAAGACAUUUUAGAUCAAGCAAAAGAGAAGGUCUCUCGAGCUAGUCAGACAGAGGAAGAAAAUUUAAAGGAAAAGGGGUUGUUAGGAAAAAGGCCACAACAGGAGGCUGUUACUAACUCCAUUUUAUCACAAGAGGGCGUAAUUCAACCAACAGCCCCACCGAUGGAGACAGCUGAGUGGCCCUCAAACCCCGUAGUUGAUAAAUGGGAUCCUGAGACAGGACCUCAAAGAUUAGCAUGCCCUGUACUUGAACAGGCAGGAGGGCAGCGAAUUCACCGUGCUUUAGAUUUUAAAACAGUGAAGCAGUUAAAGGAGGCUGUAACAACCUAUGGUCCCCAAGCUCCCUUCACGGUAAGCAUGGUUGAGUCCAUUACUAACUUGGACAUGACGCCAGCAGAUUGGGCUAGCAUGUGUAAAUCUGUACUAAAUGGAGGACAAUAUUUGUUAUGGAAGGUUGCCAAUGAGGAAUUUUGCACGGAGACAGCUAGGCGAAAUGCAGCAGCCGGUUACCCUCAAAGAAAUCUAGAUAUGUUGUUAGGAAAAGGACCUUAUGAGGGUCAACGGCAACAAAUUGAAUAUGAUCCUGCUAUAUAUGCACAAAUUGCUGCAGACGCAGUUAGGGCAUGGAAGACUUUACAAGGACAUGGAGAUUUACAAGGUCAGCUAUCUAAGGUAAUACAGAGAGCUAAUGAACCUUACGCUGACUUUGUAGAUAGGCUAAUUCAAACGGCUGCCAAAAUUUUUGGGGAUACAGAACAAGCAAUGCCAUUAAUAAAACAACUGGCUUAUGACCAAGCAAAUCGUUGCUGCAGAGAGGUUAUUAGACCAUGGAGACAUGAAGAUUUAAACACAUAUAUUAAAUUAUGUAGAGAUAUUAAUGAACAAGGGCAAGUCUUGGCAGCUGCAGUACAACAGGCUUUAGAUGCCAGGCCAAAAACAUGCUAUGAUUGUGAACAAACAGGACAUUUUAAA